This 468-nucleotide ribosomal RNA is filed under the name uncultured bacterium. RNAcentral describes it as "partial 16S ribosomal RNA". It matches the Rfam family "Bacterial small subunit ribosomal RNA", at positions 28 to 507 of the family's 1533-position model. The record is from RNAcentral.
GACGAACGCUGGCGGCGUGCUUAACACAUGCAAGUCGAACGGAAAGGCCCUGCUUUUGUGGGGUGCUCGAGUGGCGAACGGGUGAGUAACACGUGAGUAACCUGCCCUUGACUUUGGGAUAACUUCAGGAAACUGGGGCUAAUACCGGAUAGGAGCUCCUGCUGCAUGGUGGGGGUUGAAAAGUUUCGGCGGUUGGGGAUGGACUCGCGGCUUAUCAGCUUGUUGGUGGGGUAGUGGCUUACCAAGGCUUUGACGGGUAGCCGGCCUGAGAGGGUGACCGGCCACAUUGGGACUGAGAUACGGCCCAGACUCCUACGGGAGGCAGCAGUGGGGAAUAUUGCACAAUGGGCGGAAGCCUGAUGCAGCAACGCCGCGUGCGGGAUGACGGCCUUCGGGUUGUAAACCGCUUCCGCCUGUGACGAAGCGUGAGUGACGGUAAUGGGUAAAGAAGCACCGGCUAACUACGUG